Molecule: ribosomal RNA, 430 nt
Filed under: Streptomyces sp. 2LB1
Lineage: Bacteria; Bacillati; Actinomycetota; Actinomycetes; Kitasatosporales; Streptomycetaceae
Description: bacterial SSU rRNA
Rfam family: Bacterial small subunit ribosomal RNA
Source: RNAcentral
UAGAGUUUGAUCCUGGCUCAGGACGAACGCUGGCGGCGUGCUUAACACAUGCAAGUCGAACGAUGAAGCCUUCGGGUGGAUUAGUGGCGAACGGGUGAGUAACACGUGGGCAAUCUGCCCUGCACUCUGGGACAAGCCCUGGAAACGGGGUCUAAUACCGGAUAAUACUGUGCCCCUCAUGGGGGACGGUUGAAAGCUCCGGCGGUGCAGGAUGAGCCCGCGGCCUAUCAGCUUGUUGGUGGGGUAAUGGCCUACCAAGGCGACGACGGGUAGCCGGCCUGAGAGGGCGACCGGCCACACUGGGACUGAGACACGGCCCAGACUCCUACGGGAGGCAGCAGUGGGGAAUAUUGCACAAUGGGCGAAAGCCUGAUGCAGCGACGCCGCGUGAGGGAUGACGGCCUUCGGGUUGUAAACCUCUUCAGCAGGA